CAUAGCCGCGGUAAUACGAAGGGUGCAAGCGUUAAUCGGAAUUACUGGGCGUAAAGGGUGCGUAGGCGGUUGUUUAAGUCUGCUGUGAAAUCCCCGGGCUCAACCUGGGAAUUGCAGUGGAUACUGGGUCACUAGAGUGUGGUAGAGGAUAGUGGAAUUUCCGGUGUAGCAGUGAAAUGCGUAGAGAUCGGAAGGAACAUCUGUGGCGAAGGCGACUAUCUGGGCCAACACUGACACUGAGGCACGAAAGCGUGGGGAGCAAACAGGAUUAGAUACCCGGGUAGUCCCUGUCUCUUAUACC
Molecule: ribosomal RNA, 301 nt
Filed under: uncultured bacterium
Lineage: Bacteria
Description: partial 16S ribosomal RNA
Rfam family: Bacterial small subunit ribosomal RNA
Source: RNAcentral